RNAcentral lists this ribosomal RNA (555 nucleotides) under Rhodotorula taiwanensis. RNAcentral describes it as "LSU rRNA". It matches the Rfam family "Eukaryotic large subunit ribosomal RNA", at positions 85 to 655 of the family's 3401-position model. Lineage: Eukaryota; Fungi; Basidiomycota; Microbotryomycetes; Sporidiobolales; Sporidiobolaceae. The record is from RNAcentral.
AGCGGCGAGCGAAGCGGGAAGAGCUCAAAUUUAUAAUCUGGCACCUUCGGUGUCCGAGUUGUAAUCUCUAGAAGUGUUUUCCGCGUUGGACCGCACACAAGUCUGUUGGAAUACAGCGGCAUAGUGGUGAGACCCCCGUAUAUGGUGCGGACGCCCAACGCUUUGUGAUACACUUUCGAAGAGUCGAGUUGUUUGGGAAUGCAGCUCAAAUUGGGUGGUAAAUUCCAUCUAAAGCUAAAUAUUGGCGAGAGACCGAUAGCGAACAAGUACCGUGAGGGAAAGAUGAAAAGCACUUUGGAAAGAGAGUUAACAGUACGUGAAAUUGUUGGAAGGGAAACGCUUGAAGUCAGACUUGCUUGCCGAGCAAUCGGUUUGCAGGCCAGCAUCAGUUUUCCGGGGUGGAUAAUGGUAGAGAGAAGGUAGCAGUUUCGGCUGUGUUAUAGCUCUCUGCUGGAUACACCUUGGGGGACUGAGGAACGCAGUGUGCCUUACGGCGGAUUUCUCGAGAUCUUCACACUUAGGAUGCUGGUGGAAUGGCUUUAAACGACCCGUCUU